AUUUUUCAUCUUGGUUUCCCUCUUUUUUUUUGUAUGUCAUUUUGAUUACUGUUCAAAGUUAUUUUAUUAGCUGUGACUCUUUUAUAACAAGAAAAAACACCCAAAGCAUACCUUAAAAUAAACAAGGUGGCAAUCUAAUACUUAAAGAACACUGUAUUUAUGUGUUACAGAAAUAACAUUGUUUGUUCAGACUUGGUGAGAGAGAUGGGAAUACAUUGUACGUUGGUGGAAGAAGACAUAUGCCUUUUAGGUCACGGAAUAGUUUUCAUGCUCAACUACCACAAGUACAAAACAACUUGAACAUAACAGGAGCAGGACGGCUUUUUGUUACUGCCAGAAAUCCCCAGAUGUAGGAGGAAGGGAAGUCCCAGUAGUAUCUAUGACUUCUUGUGUAUUUUCUGUUGCUUGGAGAACCUGCCAUGCAUAUAAUAAUCAGGACUUUGUGCUUGAGGUCAUGCUGGUUCAGUGAAUUUAUACCCAAGCCGAUGUUUUCUGUUAGACUGUUCUGAAUCUUCUGACAGUCACAGAUAGGCCAAAGUGGCUCAAUGGUUCAACAUGCUUGUCGCCCUCCUCCACCCUUUUUUUUUUGUUUGUUUUAAUGUUUUGGGGAAUAUUUAAGAGAGAACAUAAAUUGCCCAAGCGUCUUGUAUGUAGCAGGGGAUUUCAUUAAAAAAAAAAGAAAAAAAUCCAAACACACAAAUCCAACCAAGCAUAUGGAG
This 719-nucleotide long non-coding RNA is filed under the name Anas platyrhynchos platyrhynchos (common mallard). RNAcentral describes it as "lncRNA (ENSAPLG00000025255.1)". Lineage: Eukaryota; Metazoa; Chordata; Aves; Anseriformes; Anatidae. The record is from RNAcentral.